ACUGCUCAGUAACACGUGGACAACCUACCCUUUGGUCCGGUAUAAUCCUGGGAAACUGGGGAUAAUUCCGGAUAGGUCACAGAAGCUGGAAUGCACUGUGGCUCAAAGCUUUGGCGCCAAAGGAUGGGUCUGCGGCCUAUCAGGGUUGUAGUGGGUGUAAUGUACCUACUAGCCUACGACGGGUACGGGUUGUGAGAGUAAGAGCCCGGAGAUGGAUUCUGAGACACGAAUCCAGGCCCUACGGGGUGCAGCAGGCGCGAAAACUUUACAAUGCGGGAAACCGUGAUAAGGGAAUCUCGAGUGCCAGCAUAUAAUGUUGGCUGUCUGGAUGCCUAAAAAGCAUCUGUUAGCAAGGGCCGGGCAAGACCGGUGCCAGCCGUCGUGGUAACACCGGCGGCCCGAGUGGUAACCGCUUUUAUUGGGUCUAAAGGGUCUGUAGCCGGCCAGGUAAGUCCCUUGGGAAAUCUGGCAGUUUAACUGUCAGGCUGCUAGGGGAUACUGUUUGGCUUGGGACCGGGAGAGGUGAGAGGUACCUUGGGGGUAGGGGUGAAAUCUUGUGAUCCUCGAGGGACCACCAGUGGCGAAGGCGUCUCACCAGAACGGGUCCGACGGUAAGGGACGAAAGCUAGGGGUACGAACCGGAUUAGAUACCCGGGUAGUCCUAGCCGUAAACGAUGCUCGCUAGGUGUCAGUCACGGUGUGACCGUGAUUGGUGCCGUAGGGAAGCCGUGAAGCGAGCCACCUGGGAAGUAUGGCCGCAAGGCUGAAACUUAAAGGAAUUGGCGGGGGAGCAC
Molecule: ribosomal RNA, 794 nt
Filed under: uncultured archaeon
Lineage: Archaea
Description: bacterial SSU rRNA
Rfam family: Archaeal small subunit ribosomal RNA
Source: RNAcentral